RNAcentral lists this ribosomal RNA (479 nucleotides) under uncultured bacterium. Its description in RNAcentral is "partial 16S ribosomal RNA". It matches the Rfam family "Bacterial small subunit ribosomal RNA", at positions 28 to 507 of the family's 1533-position model. The record is from RNAcentral.
GAUGAACGCUAGCGGGAGGCCUAACACAUGCAAGCCGAGCGGUAUUGUUUCUUCGGCAAUGAGAGAGCGGCGUACGGGUGCGUAACACGUGUGCAACCUGCCUUUAUCUGGGGGAUAGCCUUUCGAAAGGAAGAUUAAUACUCCAUAAUAUAUUGAACGGCAUCGUUUAAUAUUGAAAGAUCCGGCGGAUAGAGAUGGGCACGCGCAAGAUUAGCUAGUUGGUGAGGUAACGGCUCACCAAGGCGAUGAUCUUUAGGGGGCCUGAGAGGGUGAUCCCCCACACUGGUACUGAGACACGGACCAGACUCCUACGGGAGGCAGCAGUGAGGAAUAGUGGUCGAUGGGUGCAAGCCUGAACCAGCCAUCCCGCGUGAAGGACGACUGCCCUAUGGGUUGUAAACUUCUUUUGUAUAGGGAUAAACCUACCCUCGAGAGGGUAGCUGAAGGUACUAUACGAAUAAGCACCGGCUAACUCCGUG